GCAUAAUAACUUGCCCAUUAAUUGUGGGCUAGAAUGAACGGGGUAACGAAAUAAGCUCUGUCUCAACAAAAUAAAUAAAAACUAGUCUCAAAGUGAAGAAACUUUGAUUUUGCUAAAGGACAAAAAGACCCUAUAGAGCUUUAUUAAUUAACUUUUAUACAAUAGUUAUUUAAUUCGGUUGGGGCGACCUAGGAAUAAUCAUCCUACGUUUUAAAGAUAUAUUAAUCACAUGAAUGAUCCUAUAAUAGAUCAAAAGAACAAGCUACCUUAGGGAUAACAGGCUAAUCCUAUUAAAGAGUUCAUAUCGACAAUAGGGA
Molecule: ribosomal RNA, 317 nt
Filed under: Lumbricillus arenarius
Lineage: Eukaryota; Metazoa; Annelida; Clitellata; Enchytraeida; Enchytraeidae
Description: partial 16S ribosomal RNA
Rfam family: Bacterial large subunit ribosomal RNA
Source: RNAcentral